GGGCCCCGCCGCCGCCGCCUGGGGUCUCUGGGAAAGGUAUGAGCCCGACCCUUCUCCCAACCCGCCUGGUUAACCCUUUCCGCGACGACGACCUGCGGCGGGACCAAGGGAAAAGAAAGGAGCCUUCUGCGUUUUAAUUGGGUCCCUGAUUAUUGCAAGAGUCAUACCAUUUAGAGAUUAGGAAUUCCAAAGAAUUACCCUGUUAAAUUUCUGGCUGCUUCACCACUUGCUCUGAACCUGAACGUCAUCUUGAAGCUGGCAGAGCUGCUUGAAGCAUUUCCCUUGUGCCCAACUAAGUCCACUGCUUAUUGCUGGCAAGGCUGUGGGACUGUGGCCACUACACUGAAUGGCGCCUGACUCCUCUUGCAGAAGUGAGAUUCUCUUGCAAAACUGAAAACUAUCGAGUGAAAUAAAACACAGCAAGUAAA
This is a long non-coding RNA of Orcinus orca (killer whale), 428 nucleotides long. RefSeq lists it as uncharacterized. The record is from RefSeq and is a predicted model, not a curated record. The transcript has 3 exons. NCBI's taxonomy places the organism in Eukaryota, Metazoa, Chordata, Mammalia, Artiodactyla, Delphinidae.